RNAcentral lists this long non-coding RNA (348 nucleotides) under Populus tremula. RNAcentral describes it as "long non-coding RNA (PTRE_LNC001440)". Lineage: Eukaryota; Viridiplantae; Streptophyta; Magnoliopsida; Malpighiales; Salicaceae. The record is from RNAcentral.
AUCAUUAAGCCACUUCUUCACAGCACGAUUUGUAAUCUGCUUCUCCUCCGCAUCGUCGAGUAGUCCGUUGACAGUAUUCAGUGUUUCAUUCAGCUUUUCCAGAAGACCAUCAUCGAGUUUGUGGCUUUGGAAGAAGCCCAGAACCUCACGAGAGGCCAACCUGUCGACCAGAACCUCAAUGAGAGCAGAGAGAAUUGAUCCUCCGAUCAACUCCAGAGACAUGGUGGAUUUUUGCAGAAGGGUGAGGGUGGGAAUAUGUGAGAGAAAAGGAGUUGUGGAAAGCAGGAGCCUUGGUGGAUUUUUGCUAAAGGGUGAGAGAGUGAUUAUGUGAGAGAGAAUGAUAAGCCA